GUGGAUUAGAUACCCUGGUAGUCCACGCCCUAAACGAUGAAUACUCGCUGUUGGCGAUACACAGUCAGCGGCUAAGCGAAAGCGUUAAGUAUUCCACCUGGGGAGUACGCCCGCAAGGGUGAAACUCAAAGGAAUUGACGGGGGCCCGCACAAGCGGAGGAGCAUGUGGUUUAAUUCGAUGAUACGCGAGGAACCUUACCCGGGCUUGAAAGUUAGUGAACUAUCCAGAGAUGGAUGGGUCCUUCGGGACACGAAACUAGGUGCUGCACGGCCGUCGACAACU
RNAcentral lists this ribosomal RNA (283 nucleotides) under uncultured bacterium. RNAcentral's name for it is "partial 16S ribosomal RNA". It matches the Rfam family "Bacterial small subunit ribosomal RNA", at positions 773 to 1060 of the family's 1533-position model. The record is from RNAcentral.